UUUGACAACGUGGCAUCCAAUAUCAAGCAAAAUCGUAUCCUUUUGAAGGACGAAAAUCACGUUCUUUGUUCUCCGGUACCAUGCGCAAUCGUACCACACCCAAACAACCAAGGCAUUUCAAAAACGAUAGAGAAUUUUUACAGAACAAUAACUAAACUAAAAAGCCGGUUAUAGUUCCCACCAUGACCGGUCACUGUUUUAGGUCUUCUUCUUCGUCAUGUCAGUAAUGUUGUAGGUAUGGAGUAGGGGAGAUUUAGUAAAAUAUGACGAAAACAUUUGUGAAUACACUGAACGCAACGAUAAAUUGUUUAAAUCAAAAGUACUAUUUUGAGCAGAGCUCGAUAAACAGAUAAAGCCAUAGGAGCC
Cinara cedri is the source of this 366-nucleotide non-coding RNA. NCBI's taxonomy places the organism in Eukaryota, Metazoa, Arthropoda, Insecta, Hemiptera, Aphididae. The record is from the annotation of a GenBank genome assembly.